This 555-nucleotide ribosomal RNA is filed under the name uncultured marine eukaryote. RNAcentral describes it as "SSU rRNA". It matches the Rfam family "Eukaryotic small subunit ribosomal RNA", at positions 613 to 1172 of the family's 1831-position model. The record is from RNAcentral.
UUGCGGUUAAAAAGCUCGUAGUUGGAUUUCUGUCGAGAACGCGCGGUCCACGCUUUGCGUGAGCAUCUGUGUCGGUCUUGGCAUCCUCUAGAGGAUCGUUUCUGCGCUUGAUUGCGUGGGGCGGAACUCUAGACUUUUACUUUGAGGAAAUUAGAGUGUUCACGGCAGGUAAACGCCUUGAAUACAUUAGCAUGGAAUAAUAACAUAGGACCUCGGUUCUAUUUUGUUGGUUUCUAGAGCUGAGGUAAUGAUUAAUAGGGAUAAUUGGGGGCAUUCGUAUUAACGCGUCAGAGGUGGAAUUCUUGGAUUGCGUUACGACGAACUACUGCGAAAGCAUUUGCCAAGGAUGUUUUCAUUGAUCAAGAACGAAAGUUAGGGGAUCGAAGACGCUUAGAUACCAUCGUAGUCUUAACCAUAAACUAUGCCGACUAGAGAUUGGAGGUCGUUUUUUUUAUGACUCCUUCAGCACCUUAUGAGAAAUCAAAGUCUUUGGGUCCCGGGGGGAGUAUGGUCGCAAGGCUGAAACUUAAAGGAAUUGACGGAAGGGCACCACCA